This 463-nucleotide ribosomal RNA is filed under the name uncultured Desulfobulbus sp. RNAcentral describes it as "bacterial SSU rRNA". It matches the Rfam family "Bacterial small subunit ribosomal RNA", at positions 923 to 1382 of the family's 1533-position model. Lineage: Bacteria; Pseudomonadati; Thermodesulfobacteriota; Desulfobulbia; Desulfobulbales; Desulfobulbaceae. The record is from RNAcentral.
GCACAAGCGGUGGAGUAUGUGGUUUAAUUCGAUGCAACGCGAAGAACCUUACUGGUCUUGACACCCGGAGACCCUUAGGAAACUAGGGGGUGCUUCCAUCUGGAAGAAUCUGGAGACAGGUGCUGCAUGGCUGUCGUCAGCUCGUGUCGUGAGAUGUUGGGUUAAGUCCCGCAACGAGCGCAGCCCUUGCCUUUAGUUGCCAGCAGUUCGGCUGGGCACUCUAAAGGGACUGCCGGUGUUAAACCGGAGGAAGGUGGGGAUGACGUCAAGUCCUCAUGGCCUUUAUGACCAGGGCUACACACGUACUACAAUGGCCGAUACAAAGGGCAGCGACACUGCGAGGUGAAGCCAAUCCCGUAAAAUCGGUCUCAGUCCGGAUUGGAGUCUGCAACUCGACUCCAUGAAGUUGGAAUCGCUAGUAAUCGUGGAUCAGCAUGCCACGGUGAAUACGUUCCCGGGCCUU